Molecule: ribosomal RNA, 471 nt
Filed under: uncultured organism
Description: partial 16S ribosomal RNA
Rfam family: Bacterial small subunit ribosomal RNA
Source: RNAcentral
CACUCCUACGGGAGGCAGCAGUGGGGAAUAUUGCACAAUGGGCGCAAGCCUGAUGCAGCCAUGCCGCGUGUAUGAAGAAGGCCUUCGGGUUGUAAAGUACUUUCAGCGGGGAGGAAGGCGAUAAGGUUAAUAACCUUGUCGAUUGACGUUACCCGCAGAAGAAGCACCGGCUAACUCCGUGCCAGCAGCCGCGGUAAUACGGAGGGUGCAAGCGUUAAUCGGAAUUACUGGGCGUAAAGCGCACGCAGGCGGUCUGUCAAGUCGGAUGUGAAAUCCCCGGGCUCAACCUGGGAACUGCAUUCGAAACUGGCAGGCUAGAGUCUUGUAGAGGGGGGUAGAAUUCCAGGUGGAGCGGUGAAAUGCGUAGAGAUCUGGAGGAAUACCGGUGGCGAAGGCGGCCCCCUGGACAAAGACUGACGCUCAGGUGCGAAAGCGUGGGGAGCAAACAGGAUUAGAAACCCCUGUAGUCCC